AUCAACUAAUAAUAAUCCAACAUGGUAUUAAUAUGUGUGUGUAUAUGUCUGGACAACAGGAAGCGUCAACGAUGACUCGCUCUAAAUACAUGAGAUUAGAACGAGAUAGAAUGGAGUUUUAGGCGGAUUAGGAUUAGGGAUUAAUGGAGACAAACUGGGAAAGUAAUUUCUGUGUUUGAGAUUUUUUUUUUUUAAAUUAAUAAUAUUUCAUCUAAUGUCUAACUCGUUUAUGUAACGAAGAAUAAGUGUGACAAGAACUGAGGUAGAGGGUAUUAUGGAGAAAUAACACAUAAAAAGUAUGUGGCCAGCAAAAUGUGUCUUUUUGUGUAUUU
This 332-nucleotide long non-coding RNA is filed under the name Brassica napus (rape). RNAcentral's name for it is "long non-coding RNA (BNAP_LNC026076)". Lineage: Eukaryota; Viridiplantae; Streptophyta; Magnoliopsida; Brassicales; Brassicaceae. The record is from RNAcentral.